CUGAACCAUCAUAACUGUCUGAAUCAUCACCAUUGAUGCUUCCGUAGUCUGAGGAAAGGUACUUUAUGGAAUGAAAGUCAACUCACCUGGUGCUGCUAUCCCAGUCAAGGUUGCCAGGAAAACUCCAAAGUCCAAUCAUCAUUCAUGAAGUUUUGCAAGCAUUACCAAGAAGAACAAGACAGAAUGACAUCCUGUGCUCCUGAAUGUAAAUGGCAAGGCAUGAUCAA
Molecule: long non-coding RNA, 227 nt
Organism: Lineus longissimus
Lineage: Eukaryota; Metazoa; Nemertea; Pilidiophora; Heteronemertea; Lineidae
Exons: 3
Source: RefSeq, a predicted model, not a curated record